RNAcentral lists this ribosomal RNA (456 nucleotides) under uncultured bacterium. RNAcentral describes it as "bacterial SSU rRNA". It matches the Rfam family "Bacterial small subunit ribosomal RNA", at positions 340 to 786 of the family's 1533-position model. The record is from RNAcentral.
UACGGGAGGCAGCAGUGGGGAAUAUUGCACAAUGGGCGAAAGCCUGAUGCAGCUAUGCCGCGUGUAUGAAGAAGGCCUUAGGGUUGUAAAGUACUUUCAUCGGGGAGGAAAAACAAAACUAAUAAUUUUAUUUCUUGACGUUACCCGAAAAAGAAGCACCGGCUAACUCCGUGCCAGCAGCCGCGGUAAUACGGAGGGUGCUAGCGUUAAUCAGAAUUACUGGGCGUAAAGAGCACGUAGGUGGUUUUUUUAAAGUCAGAUGUGAAAUCCCUGGGCUUAACCUGGAACUGCAUUUUGAAACUGAAAUACUAGAGUAUCGUAGAGGGAGGUAGAAUUCUAGGUGUAGCGGUGAAAUGCGUAGAUAUCUGGAGGAAUACCUGUGGCGAAAGCGGCCUCCUAAACGAAUACUGACACUGAGGUGCGAAAGCGUGGGGAGCAAACAGGGAUUAGGAUACC